UCACCCCUCGGGCCCCGUGCUCGGUGUUGGACGGCCGGUUCGGGUGACCGAACCCCUCCUAAAGACAAUGACGGCGGCCUGUGGUUCCCCCGGUACACUGAGCCUUUGGCACGUGCCGGACGAGGGCGCCCAGGACCCGGUCCUCUCCUUUAACUAGGAAACUUCUAA
RNAcentral lists this unclassified non-coding RNA (168 nucleotides) under uncultured Cladophialophora. RNAcentral's name for it is "sequence contains ITS2". Lineage: Eukaryota; Fungi; Ascomycota; Eurotiomycetes; Chaetothyriales; Herpotrichiellaceae. The record is from RNAcentral.